Molecule: ribosomal RNA, 469 nt
Filed under: uncultured bacterium
Lineage: Bacteria
Description: partial 16S ribosomal RNA
Rfam family: Bacterial small subunit ribosomal RNA
Source: RNAcentral
GACGAACGCUGGCGGCGUGCUUAACACAUGCAAGUCGAACGGAAAGGCCCUGCUUGCAGGGUGCUCGAGUGGCGAACGGGUGAGUAACACGUGGGUGAUCUGCCCCUUACUUUGGGAUAAGCCUGGGAAACUGGGUCUAAUACUGGAUAGGACCAUGCUGUAGGUGGUGUGGUGGAAAGAUUAGUUUCGGUAAGGGAUGAGCUCGCGGCCUAUCAGCUUGUUGGUGGGGUAAUGGCCUACCAAGGCAUCGACGGGUAGCCGGCCUGAGAGGGUGGACGGCCACAUUGGGACUGAGAUACGGCCCAGACUCCUACGGGAGGCAGCAGUGGGGAAUAUUGCACAAUGGGCGCAAGCCUGAUGCAGCGACGCCGCGUGGGGGAUGACGGCCUUCGGGUUGUAAACUCCUUUCAGCCAUGACGAAGCCCUUGUGGUGACGGUAGUGGUAGAAGAAGCACCGGCUAACUACGUG